RNAcentral lists this ribosomal RNA (1447 nucleotides) under Limosilactobacillus fermentum. RNAcentral's name for it is "bacterial SSU rRNA". It matches the Rfam family "Bacterial small subunit ribosomal RNA". The record is from RNAcentral. Lineage: Bacteria; Bacillati; Bacillota; Bacilli; Lactobacillales; Lactobacillaceae.
UGCAAGUCGAACGCGUUGGCCCAAUUGAUUGAUGGUGCUUGCACCUGAUUGAUUUUGGUCGCCAACGAGUGGCGGACGGGUGAGUAACACGUAGGUAACCUGCCCAGAAGCGGGGGACAACAUUUGGAAACAGAUGCUAAUACCGCAUAACAGCGUUGUUCGCAUGAACAACGCUUAAAAGAUGGCUUCUCGCUAUCACUUCUGGAUGGACCUGCGGUGCAUUAGCUUGUUGGUGGGGUAACGGCCUACCAAGGCGAUGAUGCAUAGCCGAGUUGAGAGACUGAUCGGCCACAAUGGGACUGAGACACGGCCCAUACUCCUACGGGAGGCAGCAGUAGGGAAUCUUCCACAAUGGGCGCAAGCCUGAUGGAGCAACACCGCGUGAGUGAAGAAGGGUUUCGGCUCGUAAAGCUCUGUUGUUAAAGAAGAACACGUAUGAGAGUAACUGUUCAUACGUUGACGGUAUUUAACCAGAAAGUCACGGCUAACUACGUGCCAGCAGCCGCGGUAAUACGUAGGUGGCAAGCGUUAUCCGGAUUUAUUGGGCGUAAAGAGAGUGCAGGCGGUUUUCUAAGUCUGAUGUGAAAGCCUUCGGCUUAACCGGAGAAGUGCAUCGGAAACUGGAUAACUUGAGUGCAGAAGAGGGUAGUGGAACUCCAUGUGUAGCGGUGGAAUGCGUAGAUAUAUGGAAGAACACCAGUGGCGAAGGCGGCUACCUGGUCUGCAACUGACGCUGAGACUCGAAAGCAUGGGUAGCGAACAGGAUUAGAUACCCUGGUAGUCCAUGCCGUAAACGAUGAGUGCUAGGUGUUGGAGGGUUUCCGCCCUUCAGUGCCGGAGCUAACGCAUUAAGCACUCCGCCUGGGGAGUACGACCGCAAGGUUGAAACUCAAAGGAAUUGACGGGGGCCCGCACAAGCGGUGGAGCAUGUGGUUUAAUUCGAAGCUACGCGAAGAACCUUACCAGGUCUUGACAUCUUGCGCCAACCCUAGAGAUAGGGCGUUUCCUUCGGGAACGCAAUGACAGGUGGUGCAUGGUCGUCGUCAGCUCGUGUCGUGAGAUGUUGGGUUAAGUCCCGCAACGAGCGCAACCCUUGUUACUAGUUGCCAGCAUUAAGUUGGGCACUCUAGUGAGACUGCCGGUGACAAACCGGAGGAAGGUGGGGACGACGUCAGAUCAUCAUGCCCCUUAUGACCUGGGCUACACACGUGCUACAAUGGACGGUACAACGAGUCGCGAACUCGCGAGGGCAAGCAAAUCUCUUAAAACCGUUCUCAGUUCGGACUGCAGGCUGCAACUCGCCUGCACGAAGUCGGAAUCGCUAGUAAUCGCGGAUCAGCAUGCCGCGGUGAAUACGUUCCCGGGCCUUGUACACACCGCCCGUCACACCAUGAGAGUUUGUAACACCCAAAGUCGGUGGGGUAACCUUUUAGGAGCCAGCCGCCUA